AAAAAAGAAAGAAAGAAGUAGUCUCGAAGAACUCUGGAUACCCACAUUAGCUAUUCUAAGCUAAUUCAACCUAGAGAUUAUAUAAAGCCUUGAAUUUUUUUACUAGUGGGCAUUCCUUAAAAAACAAGAAAUUUGGGUUACAUAAACAAAAUAUGUUAUGCGAGUUGAAAAAUUGUAGAGAACCCGCAAAUUCGAGUCUUCUCUUCUCCUUCAACUUCAGAAUCUAGAGGCAGAACUAUGUACUUCGGAUUCAUCUCAACCACUUGAUGAAGAUAUUUCGGUUGAUGAGCUUAAAAUUUUGAGUGAAGGAGAAUUAGUGGAUAUGGCUAUGAAGGAAGCAUUACAGGGGGAGAACCAUGAUUGUCUCUCGCAGCCUUCACAAGAGCCGGUGCGAGAGUUCGGUUUGGCUAUGACUCUCUGGAAGCUCAUUUCCACAUCUUGUGUUUGCAUAUCUCUUCCUUUAUUCUUUGUGCUUUACAUUUACGGUUUAUUGUAUUUGAUUAUGCACAAGAGUGUUGUUUUGGUUUAUUGUGUUUCAUUUACUCUUAUUUUACACUUAGAUAAGUAGAGUAAAAGCAAUUUUGUUGGAUGUUUAAAAUUGAGGGUCUAAACAAGUUAUAGUGUUUUACACUAUUGAGCUCUAAGUAAUUACAAAUAGAAAGGAAGUUAGAACCCUAAAUGUCA
Molecule: long non-coding RNA, 684 nt
Organism: Quercus robur (English oak)
Lineage: Eukaryota; Viridiplantae; Streptophyta; Magnoliopsida; Fagales; Fagaceae
Exons: 5
Source: RefSeq, a predicted model, not a curated record